AAUAUGAAGGCGCCGCACGGUACGAUAAUUCGCUGAACUGUUGAGAACUGAAUUGUUCUCAGAAUAGAAUUAAGCUGAAGUAUAGCGUAGUAUAAUUAUUCAAUCAAGACAAUUAAAAACAUCAGUUUGUAGUGGAUCCAUCCCAAGGCGUGUCAAUUACUUAAACAUUCCCUCGCAUUCAUGGAGGCAACAUCACUCGAAAAUAGCUUGAGAGGAAACAUUGUAUUCGGAAAUGAUUUUGAAGCAGAGAAAUUUUUUUUAUUAUCAAUAAACAAUGGGCUUGAAUUCUCGACGAUUUCACCACAUUUGUGUCAUCCUAACAUUUGGAAUCUGUGGAUGCCUACGAUGUGACGAAAUAACAAACAUAAAGGUCGAAGAUGUGGAAGACCUAACCGAUAAAUAUCUGGUAUCCAUCAACUACAACAAAAAUGAUUACGCUGGACAAUUCAUCAUUGGGAGUCUUUUCUACGACACGUGCCAACAUGCAAAUGGUGAAGCAGUUAGGAAGAUGGCGUCCAGACAUAAUCGCGCAGGGUUACAUAGAAACUUCUGUGCCUAAUAGAGAGAUGAUAUAUAAUGGUGUAAUUCAAAAAAAUGCAAUAACAGACAUCCAUUCGAAGCCAUCUACUAGCACGCAGAGAAAAAUCAAACCUGAGAAUGCUGAUUCGGAUCACCAUAUUAAUUGGUCGGAUUUUGAUGAAGUCUUUGCUGUUAAUGACGUUGAUUCCACUCCAAGUGAAGUUGUGAAAAGUAGCUUUACCGCAGUAAGAAAAAAUCCGAUAUUUAUCCCAAUUACACAUAGGAAUAAACCAGGUAUUGGCAAAAAAAACUUAUUUUUUAAUAAACCUAGAAUAAAAUUACCGUUUAAAAACGUAACAGUUCAGUCACCUACAUGUAAGAGAAAGAAAAACAACGAAGAUUCGGACGACAAAAAUCACAAUCAUCGAAAUUCAGUUCUCAAAGAUGGUUUAAAAUUUUCCAAUUGUACUUUUAACAAUUGUAUAUUCAACAUCACAUUAUGUAAUUGCAAUAAAGAAAAAAAGUCAUAAGAUCAGAAAAAAAUUUGUAAUAUUGAUUAUGUAUUUGCACUAAUAAAAUAUGGUGCUGCUAU
RNAcentral lists this unclassified non-coding RNA (1111 nucleotides) under Venturia canescens. RNAcentral describes it as "uncharacterized LOC122417049, transcript variant X1". The record is from RNAcentral. Lineage: Eukaryota; Metazoa; Arthropoda; Insecta; Hymenoptera; Ichneumonidae.